CGUCACAGUUGCGUGUGAAACGUUCAGAGAGUUCGGGCGGAACUGAAGCCAACUGAUGCGCGUUCGGAAGUUUGGAUGAGAAUCAGUCAAGAUGAGCUUGCUGAAAUAUUUCAAAAGAAAAAAGGAUGAUGGACAUGGAGAGGAGAAGAAUCAAUCAGAGCUUCAGCAGCCUACCUUUUAGAUAGAGGAAAGAGUGGAGAAAGAUGAU
This is a long non-coding RNA of Alosa alosa (allis shad), 208 nucleotides long. RefSeq lists it as uncharacterized. The record is from RefSeq and is a predicted model, not a curated record. The transcript has 3 exons. Lineage: Eukaryota; Metazoa; Chordata; Actinopteri; Clupeiformes; Clupeidae.